UACAGAGACUGCAAGCGUUAUUCGGAUUCACUGGGCGUAAAGGGUGCGCAGGCGGUUGGGUGUGUCAGAUGUGAAAUCCCGAGGCUUAACCUCGGAACUGCGUCUGAAACUACUCGACUAGAGUACUGGAGAGGGUAACGGAAUUCACGGUGUAGCAGUGAAAUGCGUAGAUAUCGUGAGGAACACCAGAGGCGAAGGCGGUUACCUGGACAGUUACUGACUCUCAGGCACGAAAGCAUGGGGAGCAAAAGGG
This 253-nucleotide ribosomal RNA is filed under the name uncultured bacterium. RNAcentral's name for it is "partial 16S ribosomal RNA". It matches the Rfam family "Bacterial small subunit ribosomal RNA", at positions 524 to 776 of the family's 1533-position model. The record is from RNAcentral.